CCCUUAGAUGUUCGGGGCCGCACGCGCGCUACACUGAAGGAAUCAGCACGUCUUUCUCCUUGUCCGAAAGGACUGGGUAACCCGCUGAACCUCCUUCGUGCUAGGGAUUGGGGCUUGUAAUUCUUCCCCAUGAACGAGGAAUUCCCAGUAAGCGCGAGUCAUAAGCUCGCGUUGAUUACGUCCCUGCCCUUUGUACACACCGCCCGUCGCUACUACCGAUUGGAUGGUUUAGUGAGAUCCUCGGAUUGGUCCCGGAGCGGCCUCUGGUCGUGCCGGAGUGCCGAAAAGAAUGUCGAACUUGAUCAUCUAGAGGAAGUAAAAGUCGGAACA
Molecule: ribosomal RNA, 330 nt
Filed under: uncultured eukaryote
Lineage: Eukaryota
Description: partial 18S ribosomal RNA
Rfam family: Eukaryotic small subunit ribosomal RNA
Source: RNAcentral